GACGUAGGGGGCAAGCGUUGUCCGGAUUUAUUGGGCGUAAAGAGCGUGUAGGCGGCCAGACAGGUCCGUUGUGAAAACUCGAGGCUCAACCUCGAGAUGUCGAUGGAAACCGUCUGGCUAGAGUCCGGAAGAGGAGUGUGGAAUUCCUGGUGUAGCGGUGAAAUGCGCAGAUAUCAGGAAGAACACCUAUGGCGAAGGCAGCACUCUGGGACGGUACUGACGCUGAGACGCGAAAGCGUGGGGAGCGAACAGG
Molecule: ribosomal RNA, 253 nt
Filed under: uncultured bacterium
Lineage: Bacteria
Description: partial 16S ribosomal RNA
Rfam family: Bacterial small subunit ribosomal RNA
Source: RNAcentral